Molecule: ribosomal RNA, 468 nt
Filed under: uncultured bacterium
Lineage: Bacteria
Description: partial 16S ribosomal RNA
Rfam family: Bacterial small subunit ribosomal RNA
Source: RNAcentral
GACGAACGCUGGCGGCGUGCUUAACACAUGCAAGUCGAACGGACAGGCCCUGCUCUUGCGGGGUGCUCGAGUGGCGAACGGGUGAGUAACACGUGAGUAACCUGCCCUUGACUUUGGGAUAACUUCAGGAAACUGGGGCUAAUACCGGAUAGGAGCUCCUGCUGCAUGGUGGGGGUUGGAAAGUUUCGGCGGUUGGGGCUGGACUCGCGGCUUAUCAGCUUGUUGGUGGGGUAGUGGCUUACCAAGGCUUUGACGGGUAGCCGGCCUGAGAGGGUGACCGGCCACAUGGGGACUGAGAGACGGCCCAGAAGCCUACGGGAGGCAGUAGUGGGGAGUAUUGCACAAUGGGCGGAAGCCUGAUGCAGCAACGCCGCGUGCGGGAUGACGGCCUUCGGGUUGUAAACCGCUUUCGCCUGUGACGAAGCGGGAGUGACGGUAAUGGGUAAAGAAGCACCGGCUAACUACGUG